This 460-nucleotide ribosomal RNA is filed under the name uncultured bacterium. Its description in RNAcentral is "partial 16S ribosomal RNA". It matches the Rfam family "Bacterial small subunit ribosomal RNA", at positions 338 to 795 of the family's 1533-position model. The record is from RNAcentral.
CCUACGGGUGGCUGCAGUGAGGAAUAUUGGUCAAUGGACGAGAGUCUGAACCAGCCAAGUAGCGUGAAGGAUGACUGCCCUAUGGGUUGUAAACUUCUUUUAUAUGGGAAUAAAAUGUUCCACGUGUGGGAUUUUGUAUGUACCAUAUGAAUAAGGAUCGGCUAACUCCGUGCCAGCAGCCGCGGUAAUACGGGGGAUCCGAGCGUUAUCCAGAUUUAUUGGGUUUAAAGGGAGCGUAGGUGGAUUGUUAAGUCAGUUGUGAAAGUUUGCGGCUCAACCGUAAAAUUGCAGUUGAAACUGGCAGUCUUGAGUACAGUAGAGGUGGGCGGAAUUCGUGGUGUAGCGGUGAAAUGCUUAGAUAUCACGAAGAACUCCGAUUGCGAAGGCAGUUCACUGGACUGCAACUGACACUGAGGCUCGAAAGUGUGGGUAUCAAACAGGAUUAGAUACCCUAGUAGUC